RNAcentral lists this ribosomal RNA (119 nucleotides) under Levilactobacillus brevis. The record is from RNAcentral. Lineage: Bacteria; Bacillati; Bacillota; Bacilli; Lactobacillales; Lactobacillaceae.
CUUAGCACGCCGAUAGUAGUUGGGGGAUCGCCCCCUGCGAGGAUAGGACGUUGCCACGCGAUUAUUCCGGCAUAGCUCAGUUGGUAGAGCACCUGACUGUUAAUCAGGUUGUCGRCGGU